UGGGGAAUCUUGGACAAUGGGCGCAAGCCUGAUCCAGCCAUGCCGCGUGUGUGAAGAAGGCCUUCGGGUUGUAAAGCACUUUCGGCCGGAACGAAAUCGCCUCCGUUAAUAGCGGGGGUGGAUGACGGUACCGGAAGAAGAAGCACCGGCUAACUACGUGCCAGCAGCCGCGGUAAUACGUAGGGUGCGAGCGUUAAUCGGAAUUACUGGGCGUAAAGGGUACGCAGGCGGUUGUGUAAGUCAGAUGUGAAAUCCCCGGGCUCAACCUGGGAAUUGCAUUUGAGACUGUCCAUCUAGAGUUGAGUAGAGGGGAGCGGAAUUUCCGGUGUAGCGGUGAAAUGCGUAGAUAUCGGAAGGAACAUCAGUUGCGAAGGCGGCUCUCUGGACUCAAACUGACGCUGAGGCACGAAAGCGUGGGUAGCGAACAGGAUUAGAUACCCCUGUAGUCCCUGAGCGGGCUGGCAAGGCGCAU
This 472-nucleotide ribosomal RNA is filed under the name uncultured bacterium. RNAcentral's name for it is "bacterial SSU rRNA". It matches the Rfam family "Bacterial small subunit ribosomal RNA", at positions 355 to 825 of the family's 1533-position model. The record is from RNAcentral.